Dermacentor albipictus is the source of this 1963-nucleotide long non-coding RNA. RefSeq lists it as uncharacterized. Lineage: Eukaryota; Metazoa; Arthropoda; Arachnida; Ixodida; Ixodidae. The record is from RefSeq and is a predicted model, not a curated record.
UAUUUUUCGGGGAGAAACGGUGCGGCAGGAGCAGACGACGACGUGUGCAGACAACUCGCAACAUGUCGCGACGCGCGCUCACGAGUUGCAAGUCAUGCUCGCUGCCGGAGCCCAACACGAAUGCGAAGGCGGCCACGGCAUUUAUGACGGAACCGCGAAGAUUCCGUCGACGGGUUAUAAUAUCGGUAAAACUACGGCGACAACGCUUGCACCAUUCUGUGUCGAAGAACCCAGUGGAAGCAUGUGGAAGCUUCUAGAACAUUCCGAGUUCGGCAACUGUACGCAGGUUGCAACUUUUUUUUUAUCCUUUGUUUUUACCAUCACCCUCGCGCCGAUCACGGUGAUAACAGCGGCACGGCGGCUAGCGAGCCGGUGACGUAGUUCGACAUUAGACCAAUGAGACAAGAAAGGAAAUUGACCGGGCGUAUCAACGCCUUCGCCGAAGAGCUUGGCAUCGCGGUCGUCGUGGGCAUAUAGAGAGCAUCCGAUGGCUUGGGUCGCCAUUUUGCCUUUUCUGUCCACUUCGGCGUGCCUCGUCUCGGCUGCCUUCUGCGUCGCACGGUACCUCGAGCCCCUGCUGGUCUUAAUUACGCGCUAACAGUGGCAGCGCUUGUCGAAGUUGCAUGCUGCGCACCUUCCCGCCUUCGGCCGACUCUGGAAGCACUGGCUUGAAGCCCCGGGCCUGCAAAACGUGAAGCACGCCUCGAGAGACUUGUAGCCUGACCCGCCUGCCGCCUCGGAAAUUCCUGGCCCGCCUUUCGAGCUCCCGGAGUGUAAGUGACCGCCAGCCGGCAUAACUACGUUACGCGAACGACACUCCGGUCGAGCCAGCGCAGCGUAUAAGUCGCAAGUCGUUCCUGCUCGUUAUUUUGUUUGUGCGCGUUCCCACCCCCCGACGGCGCCUGGACUAUUGAACUGUGGAUGAACUCUGAGCGUGGCCACCAACCCCAGGACCUGCGCGGCAACCCCUCGUCACGUCGAGCGUCGUCUCUACGAGCUUCGCAUCGAGCGUCCUAAACGCUCAAAAGGCCUGUGUGUGCACUUUGUGCAUUUUUUCUAGAUGGUCUAGCUGGCGAGGGUGGCGCACGCCUUAGAGAAGUUAACUGUUUGUUCAGUUGCACUAGCUAGCGCUCACUGAGAUGUAUAGCUAUAUGGCAAAAUAACGCAAAGUUAGUUUUGUUGCUUAGCUGUAAGCCCGAGGUUUCGUGGGCAUGGCAUGCGGCCACACGGGUCUUCUCCGUGCCGGAAUCGAAGAGGACGGGCCACGUGUCCGGGGUGGCGGCGUAUAGCUUCAGGUUUAGCUGACACACAGCUUAGCUCACACUAGGCAGGCUAUAGCUGAUAGCCGUCCUCUUACGACUGCGUCAGGGACAUGGACCCAUCCGAAUGGCCUUGCGACCCGACCCCACUAUUUCGUGACAAGGUAGCCCGCGCGCGUCAGUGCUAUCGAGCGAAAUUGUGGUAUGACGAGAGCAAAUGGCGUUCGGAAAUAACCUCGCCAGCUAUUAGGCAUUAACCCGCUCUACGCAGCCCCUCGACGCCGGACGUGGCCUGCUGUUUUUGUCGGAGCUGGGCCGGGCAGCAGCUACAAGCAUCACUCGUACCGCGCACGGCCUACAGUGUUCCCUCGUCGGUGUGGCCUUGUGGCCCUUGACCGGGAUCCCGAGGUCCGCUUUCCAGAUUGCGGACCACGAGUCGGAAGGAUAUCCAGUGUGCUGCUCCAUGUUUGCCAUCCUCCCAGCGUCCCCCACCGGAGAUGGCCUUGAGAACCUCUUACCGUGGCUGACCGCCUUGGCUCCUUUGCAUUUCCACGUCAAUGGCGUCCUUCUGCUACGGGGGACUUCGCUUGCUACUACUGGACGGGAAAGUCAGCGCCGAAGUCCUCUGGCAAAGACAUCAGAGAACUGUCCCUGAAAGACCGACAGGACUGCGUCAGCAUAUGGCACCGCGUGUGGGAAACAAA